GAAAUGUCUGAAAUAAGAAUUGUGCUCUCUGGAGACAGCGAAAAGAGUUUUUAUCAUUGAAAGCCCUGUCAGGAAAUUGCUUGGGGGCUCUAAAAAGGACCUGCAUGCAGCAGCCAAAACACUGGUUAUCAUUAGAGCCUUGGCACGUGGAAUGAGUCAAAGGAUGUUGACACUGACAGCAUCUCAGUCUGCUGGAGCAAGGCACGAUGUGGCUAUUGAUGGCAGAGAGACACUUCAGAUCUGAAUCCUACUUUGCUCCACAAAGGUCCAGCCGUCAACCAGUCCAAAUAAGAAUCAGGAUCAAACCUAACUCUUCAUCUACUGUUCUCCAGAAGCUAACUGUUUUCUGUGAUUUUCUACGUCAAAAUUUUCAUUUUUAAUUUCAAAGGAUAAUACUAAUUGGGUAUUUUUGAGAUGAAAUAAGACUCCUUAUGAUAAAG
Molecule: long non-coding RNA, 440 nt
Organism: Anser brachyrhynchus (Pink-footed goose)
Lineage: Eukaryota; Metazoa; Chordata; Aves; Anseriformes; Anatidae
Source: Ensembl